GUUAGGACCUGCAGUCCAGUGCUGGCACCGUGGUGGGAGCCGAGCUCUCCCCACAGGGACGCAGCCCUGGCCUUCCCUGUGAGGCCUUCCCGCUGCCCAGGCCCCUGUGGCUAGUUGGUCGAGCUCCCUCCUCCCCUGGCUCCUGGAAGAGUCUGUGCAGCCUCCCUUCUUCCCAGUUGCUGUUAAGACUGGGCCCAGCAGAUUGAACCACUCGGGGCCCUUGCCCCAGGAGCCACGUUCCCAGCCCUGUUUUGGAUUGGAUUUAGAGACGGGGUCUCACUGAAUUAUUUAGCACCACGCUGAAUUGCUGAGGCUGGCUUUGAACUCACGAUCCUCCUGCCUCUGUCUCACCUCCUGAGCCGCUGGGAUUACAGGGGUGCACCACCACACCUGGCUGUAGGACGUUUUUAACUAUGAAGUCACCUUCUUUUUG
Molecule: long non-coding RNA, 433 nt
Filed under: Marmota monax (woodchuck)
Lineage: Eukaryota; Metazoa; Chordata; Mammalia; Rodentia; Sciuridae
Source: RNAcentral